This 472-nucleotide ribosomal RNA is filed under the name uncultured bacterium. RNAcentral describes it as "partial 16S ribosomal RNA". It matches the Rfam family "Bacterial small subunit ribosomal RNA", at positions 28 to 507 of the family's 1533-position model. The record is from RNAcentral.
GACGAACGCUGGCGGCGUGCUUAACACAUGCAAGUCGAACGCUGAAGCUUGGUGCUUGCACUGGGUGGAUGAGUGGCGAACGGGUGAGUAAUACGUGAGUAACCUGCCCUUGACUCUGGGAUAAGCCUGGGAAACUGGGUCUAAUACUGGAUACGACAUGCCACUGCAUGGUUGUGUGUGGAAAGGGUUUUACUGGUUUUGGAUGGGCUCACGGCCUAUCAGCUUGUUGGUGGGGUAAUGGCCUACCAAGGCGACGACGGGUAGCCGGCCUGAGAGGGUGACCGGCCACACUGGGACUGAGACACGGCCCAGACUCCUACGGGAGGCAGCAGUGGGGAAUAUUGCACAAUGGGCGGAAGCCUGAUGCAGCGACGCCGCGUGAGGGAUGACGGCCUUCGGGUUGUAAACCUCUUUCAGCACGGAAGAAGCGAGAGUGACGGUACGUGCAGAAGAAGCGCCGGCUAACUACGUG